GCGCAACCUUUUUUAAAGUCCCUAAUUUUGUCGUACAAAACACAAAAAUUAAAUAUUUGCUUGUUUGUAGUGUAAACUGCUUUUCUGUAGUUUUCUGUUAUUCUUUACCUCCUUCUUGUCAGAGUGCACGCUGCUGAUUGCAGAAACUGCUGCCCACACACACACAAAAACCAACACCCCAGUUAACUUUUUAAAGGCAUGUCUUGUAUAUUAGAUAUUGCAGGGGUGUCCAGUCAUGCGAAGAGUGAACCAGCGCUGUGUCAUGAGGGAGAAGCCUUCAGAGAUGCUAUCACCACAUUGUUUUCUAGGGUUGUAGCUGAGGUUUCUUUUCGCUCACAAACAGAGGGGACACCCCAAGACACCACAAUUUUUCUGGGGUUGUAGCUAACUUUUGCAGAAUUGGGGGCCUACAAAUGGCAGGUACACCCCCAGGACAUCAAGAUGUUUUGCCGGGCUGUACCUUAGUUUUUGUGGAACCAGGGAACCCAUGAAGGGGAAGGGACACUCCCAGUUUUGCCGGCUUGUAGCUUGUAUUUUUUGCAGUACGGGAGGCCUACAAAUGGAAGGGACACCCCCAAGACACCAUGAUGUUUUGCCGGGCUGUACCUUAGUUUUUGUGGAACCAGGGAACCCAUGAAGGGGAAGGGACACUCCCAGGUAUAUGUGUAGUGUGCAUCACUACAUUCCGUAUUGUACACACAAAAACAAAACACAAGCUAUAACAUCAAAAGCCAUGUUUGGUUUUCUUCAGUUUUGCCGGCUUGUAGCUUGUUUUUUGCAGUAAGUUAGGCCUACAAAUGGAAGGGACACCCCCAAGACACCAUGAUGUUUUGCCGGGCUGUACCUUAGUUUUUGUGGAACCAGGGAACCCAUGAAGGGGAAGGGACACUCCCAGCUAUUUGUGUAGUGUGCAUCACAACAUUCCGUGUUGUAAACACAAAAACAAAACACAAACUAUAAUAUCAAAGCCAUGUUUGGUUUUCUUCAGUUUUGCCGGCUUGUAGCUAGUUUUUUUUUUGCCGUACGGGAGACCUACAAAUGGAAGGGACACCCCCAUGACACCAUGAUGUAGGCUGUCAAUUUCUUCAGAAUUGUUUAUAAAAACUUGACACACUUAUUUACAUCAAAGCCAUGUCUGUAUUUGUCAGGUUUUGUCGGGCUGUACCUUAGUUUUUGUGGAACCAGGGAACCCAUGAAGGGGAAGGGACACUCCCAGCUAUUUGUGUAGUGUGCAUCACAACAUUCCGUAUUGUACACACAAAAACAAAACACGAGUUAUAACCUCAAAAGCCAUGUUUGGUUUUCUUCAGUUUUGCCGGCUUGUAGCUUGUUUUUUGCAGUAAGUUAGGCCUACAAAUGGAAGGGACACCCCCAAGACACCAUGAUGUUUUGCCGGGCUGUACCUUAGUUUUUGUGGAACCAGGGAACCCAUGAAGGGGAAGGGACACUCCCAGCUAUUUGUGUAGUGUGCAUCACAACAUUCCGUAUUGUACACACAAAAACAAAACACGAGUUAUAACAUCAAAAGCCAUGUUUGGUUUUCUUCAGUUUUGCCGGCUUGUAGCUUGUUUUUUGCAGUACGUUAGGCCUACAAAUGGAAGGGACACCCCCAAGACACCAUGAUGUUUUGCCGGGCUGUACCUUAGUUUGUGUGGAACCAGGGAACCCAUGAAGGGGAAGGGACACUCCCAGUUUUGCCGGCUUGUAGCUAGUUUUUUUUGCAGUACGGGAGACCUACAAAUGGAAGGGACACCCCCAAGACACCAUGAUGU
Molecule: long non-coding RNA, 1772 nt
Organism: Entelurus aequoreus (snake pipefish)
Lineage: Eukaryota; Metazoa; Chordata; Actinopteri; Syngnathiformes; Syngnathidae
Exons: 10
Source: RefSeq, a predicted model, not a curated record